GAGUUCCUUAUCACUGUGCCACCUGGGAAGUCCCUAGAGUGCUCUUAGAAUGAUACUUAACUCAAGUGAAAAUUACUGACCACUGAUUUAAACUCUUCAAACUUACUUCUGUGGGCUUCAGGAAACUUAGUUUUCUUACUUUAAAGUGGACUGAAAAAAAAAAUCUAUUUCCAAACUCAGAUACCUGCUAUCCCUUGCAUCUGGGAAUUUUGAGAGAGAUUUUGUCUUGGCUUCAAAUACCAUCAAACUUUCCCCUCACAACCUAAGUGGUUUGCAGUAAACACCGUAAGUACAUUCUCCUGUCACAAGGAGAGACAAAUAAAACAGAUGGUCCGUUGCACAUCAGCCCAAAUAGUGAUUCUUAUUUUGAAACCUAUGCAGAAGAGAUGUUUAGUGCAGCGAGUAUGUAGCUUAAGCAACUGUAAGCCUCUGGCACUAGUCCUUGCAGCCCCAAGCUCGGACUGUUGCUAGGUAACCAUUUUGAAAUGGACACCUAGCGACUAUUAACUGCCAUCCUUCCUUUCUGCCCCAUUAUCCUAUAAACAGACUUGUAAUUGCUAAAUCCAGUGUAACAUCAGAAGUCCAGGGCAGGAGCUAGGGGGAGAAAGAAAGAGAUUUUAGACUGUGUGCCUAUUUAUGGAAAUACUUGAAAAACGUAUGUCAAUCAUGAAUGACUAUUUUCUUAUUAUUUCUACUGUUUUAGACCACAGACUUACCACUUUCCAAACCAGUGUGUUAGUGUUUUAGUUUUGUAUUGCUUUGCAUUUUAUUUUUAAUUUAUUUUUGCCUUUUAUUUGCUUCAAAAUCUUUUUUCCAUUUUACUGGAGUAUAAUAAAAAUUGCAUAGUUAAGGUGCACAAUGUGAUGACUUCAUAUUAAUGUAUGCUAUAAAAUGAUGAUCAUCAUAGUCAAGUUGAUUAGCAUUCAUUACCUCACAUGGUUACCUUUUUUUUAAUUACUUCCCCUCUUCCCACCUCCACUCUGGCAACCACCUGUUUGUUCUCU
RNAcentral lists this long non-coding RNA (1004 nucleotides) under Capra hircus (goat). Its description in RNAcentral is "lncRNA (ENSCHIG00010018140.1)". The record is from RNAcentral. Lineage: Eukaryota; Metazoa; Chordata; Mammalia; Artiodactyla; Bovidae.